This is a long non-coding RNA of Paramacrobiotus metropolitanus, 1442 nucleotides long. RefSeq lists it as uncharacterized. The record is from RefSeq and is a predicted model, not a curated record. NCBI's taxonomy places the organism in Eukaryota, Metazoa, Tardigrada, Eutardigrada, Parachela, Macrobiotidae. The transcript has 3 exons.
GUCUUCUGCUUCACCAAGAGCUUUCGCCUUUCUACUGUGGAUUUUCACCAGACGAGCAUUCGCUUGUUGCUGCUGGCGUAAUUUUCGACGCCACACCGCCCACGAAGUACGCCAGAGAACAAAAAGACAGAUGCGAUUUAACUUCCAAACGUCCAGAUUGCUCAGAUCCUUUGUCGUCCAGCUUCAGUUCGAAUAGUGCGCAUAGGGACGCGGAGCGCGGGUCUGAUACUCCUUCAGAAUCUUGUGCUGGAGACUGGCCCCCAACCUGAUCCGUGAUCCACUGACCAAUAUGCUUUACCACAUCCUCCGGAUUCCACUGCCAUUGUUGCACAUAGACAAGAUGCUGUUCCAACACGUUCCAAAUCGUUGCGACAUCGAUGCUGUGGAGAUUGAACGCCGCAUGUGGAAUGUGAAAAGGGAUUCUGUAUUUAUCUGUACGACGCUAACCAGGCAGCGAGAUACCACCAAGCGAUCAAUUUGACUGCUACUGCUUGCCACCACCUGUUGGAUGUAAUCGAUGGUGUUCUCAACGUCUGUCCGACUGUCCGUUUUAUUGACGAUGUCAUGAACCGCCGGAUCACGGUCAAGACCGGCAUCGUGUAUGCAGAUCAGGCGCGUAUCCGGUGUAAUAUGCUUGAAGAUGCAUGCGUAGGCGCCGCAAUGGUAGCUGCGAAGAACGUCGGGAUGCUCAUGAUAAUGCUGCACGUGAAGACCGCGGAUCAGCGGCGGCGUGGUCAGAAGUUCUUCCCACAGUUGAGAGGCGCGUCGGCAUCGCAGCCGGUCAAUAGUGUCCAGACACUGGAAGAUCUCAGUCAAAAUUUCCAAUGGUAGUGCUCAAAUUCGUUCGCCGCUGUUCACCGUCUCCUCCCACUUUGUAUGUGUUGGGGGUCUUUCCAGGACCUGGUUUGCUGCUGAAUCCGCAAUAACGCGAUAUCGGUAGUAUGCGAAAGGCCUCCGCUAAACAAAAAAAUGACAUUAGCUUAAACGUUAUAAAACUUUUGUUUUUGCUGCAGUUUGACAAAGAUAAAAUAACGAUAUUAUAUAUCUGCAAUCAUAUAAUAGGCCUGCGGAUAUGAAUAUGACUAUUACGGUAUUCCCAAUACAUACUCUAGUGCUGUACUGCCAUUUGAAAUAACGUUUGCCACGGCCACUCUCUCAACCGACGAAAAUAUUUUUUUAGGUAUACCCACGGGUCUUUUUUGAAAAAACGAAAUUUUUGGUAGACGGGAGCCAGUGAUAUGGCCCUGGAUAUAUGCCAGUAUUUAGAAUUAUUAUGUGCACAAGUAUUUUAUGAAGAAUAUUUCAUGUACAUUUUCUCUUCCGGGUACAAAUAUAUAAAAUCAUUCUGAUAUUAUAUUAUGUGCAUAUACAGUAUUACCGCGAAACAUGUGUGGGAGUGCGCAAACGUUAAUUCCCUGGGUAUACACCAGCCUCGGGCCAUG